CAGAGGGUGCAAGCGUUGUUCGGAAUCACUGGGCGUAAAGCGCGCGCAGGCGGAUGGUUGCGUCCGGAGUGAAAUUACGCCGCUCAACGGCGAAGCUGCUUUGGAUACGGACCGUCUAGGGACCGGUAGAGGCUGGUAGAAUUGCAGGUGUAGCGGUGGAAUGCGUAGAGAUCUGCAAGAAUACCCGUGGCGAAGGCGGCCAGCUGGGCCGGAUCCGACGCUGAGGCGCGAAAGCGUGGGGAGCAAACAGGAUUAGAUACCCUGGUAGUCCACGCCGUAAACGAUGGGCACUAGGUGCCGGGGGGAGCGACCCCCUCGGUGCCGCAGCUAACGCGAUAAGUGCCCCGCCUGGGGAGUACGGCCGCAAGGCUG
Molecule: ribosomal RNA, 372 nt
Filed under: uncultured organism
Description: bacterial SSU rRNA
Rfam family: Bacterial small subunit ribosomal RNA
Source: RNAcentral